This 77-nucleotide transfer RNA is filed under the name Celeribacter neptunius. RNAcentral describes it as "tRNA_Arg_CCG". It matches the Rfam family "tRNA". From Rfam's summary of the family: Transfer RNA (tRNA) molecules are approximately 80 nucleotides in length. Their secondary structure includes four short double-helical elements and three loops (D, anti-codon, and T loops). Further hydrogen bonds mediate the characteristic L-shaped molecular structure. tRNAs have two regions of fundamental functional importance: the anti-codon, which is responsible for specific mRNA codon recognition, and the 3' end, to which the tRNAs corresponding amino acid is attached (by aminoacyl-tRNA synthetases). tRNAs cope with the degeneracy of the genetic code in two manners: having more than one tRNA (with a specific anti-codon) for a particular amino acid; and 'wobble' base-pairing, i.e. permitting non-standard base-pairing at the 3rd anti-codon position. The record is from RNAcentral. Lineage: Bacteria; Pseudomonadati; Pseudomonadota; Alphaproteobacteria; Rhodobacterales; Roseobacteraceae. RNAcentral also lists the same sequence under 12 other names.
GCACCUUUAGCUCAGCUGGAUAGAGCGCUGCCCUCCGAAGGCAGAGGCCAGAGGUUCGAAUCCUCUAAGGUGCGCCA